CCUACGGGUGGCAGCAGUGAGGAAUAUUGGUCAAUGGACGAGAGUCUGAACCAGCCAAGUAGCGUGAAGGAUGACUGCCCUAUGGGUUGUAAACUUCUUUUAUAUGGGAAUAAAAUGUUCCACGUGUGGGUUUUUGUAUGUACCAUAUGAAUAAGGAUCGGCUAACUCCGUGCCAGCAGCCGCGGUAAUACGGAGGAUCCGAGCGUUAUCCGGAUUUAUUGGGUUUAAAGGGAGCGUAGGUGGAUGGUUAAGUCAGUUGUGAAAGUUUGCGGCUCAACCGUAAAAUUGCAGUUGAAACUGGCAGUCUUGAGUACAGUAGAGGUGGGCGGAAUUCGUGGUGUAGCGGUGAAAUGCUUAGAUAUCACGAAGAACUCCGAUUCCGAAGGCAGCUCACUGGACUGCAACUGACACUGAGGCUCGAAAGUGUGGGUAUCAAACAGGAUUAGAUACCCGAGUAGUC
Molecule: ribosomal RNA, 460 nt
Filed under: uncultured bacterium
Lineage: Bacteria
Description: partial 16S ribosomal RNA
Rfam family: Bacterial small subunit ribosomal RNA
Source: RNAcentral